Long non-coding RNA from Pipra filicauda (Wire-tailed manakin), 661 nucleotides. RefSeq lists it as uncharacterized. The record is from RefSeq and is a predicted model, not a curated record. NCBI's taxonomy places the organism in Eukaryota, Metazoa, Chordata, Aves, Passeriformes, Pipridae. The transcript is spliced from 2 exons.
AGUCAUUUGGGAACAACUCAUCCCAUAUUCCAGUAGCUCUGUGUGUGCACUUCACAGUUUCCCAGGUUUGGAGGAAUUUCAUUUCAACAGGAGAGCACUUCCAGAGAUGACCCUCUGCUGAUACCCUUUCUGGCAAUCAGGCUGUGCAAUCCCAGCUGGAAAAGCAGAGAAGCAAGAGAAGGGAAACACUUACAAGGGAAGUGGAGCCUGCUUGACAUAUUUGAGUGUCAGGGUUGGACACGAUUCAGGAAUUGUGUGUAGACACACUCAGAUCACUACAAACAGCAAGUGCAAGGAAUGAUUGGAACUACUCAGACAUUAUUGAGCUGCAAUCAACUAAUCUCUUGGGAAAGAAACCAGGAGUCACGAACAGCUUAAGACUUACUGUGGAAAUUGGCCUGAAGUAUUACGGAAUUUUGGAAACCCUGAUUAAAAUAAAUGGCGUUCAAGACACUUGUACUGCAGAGAGACUCUGGAGUCCAGGGAGAGCUCUGUAUGAGCAGGAUGUGUCAGACACCAGAACAACGAAUUAAAGAAAGGAAUCGGCUCAGGAAAUAUUAUUGCUGGUUUCUGAAAACAAGCUGAGACGCAGUUGCUACCUGAGGAGCACAAAGGGGAAGAGAAAGAACAUGGGAAGUAAUAAAGCAGAACUUGGAUGUAA